CCUCCCUCGCCCUGGAGGCUUUCAGAGCCGAGAGGGCACACAGGGGCCCUUUCAGCCAGUGUUAAGAUCUUGGCUCCUGUUAGGGGGAGAUUUGUGUUUCCUGUUAACCUGCUGGAUGGUGUUUCAAGAGGCAAGGGCCUGGACUCCCUCUUACAUGGAGACUUUGGAUGCAUCCACCCAGGAACUCGAGGGAGCGACAACCUGUCAUACGUGCAUACAGCAGAGUGCUACCCAGGGACAGCAAGGAAGAAACCACUGAUUGACACAACAGCAGGGAUAAACUAAAUGCAUUUUGCUUGGUGAAAGAAGACAGGCUCAAAAGGCUUUAAAUUGUCAGAGAGGCCAGGCAAUGCCUUCUCAGGGGCUCUGAUGGAGGCAGAGCAGGACUUCUGGUGCAGGCCCGUCCCUGCUCCCCGUCCCCGGGGCCUGCUGCAUCUGGGUUUAUGAACCUGAGAUAAGAGGAGACUUGGAUCUAUAGUAGAGUGAGAGAGGCCUUUUAUGCCAAAGAGCCAAGGAGAAUUCAAGGAUGGCCAGCGUUCAUUCAUUUAUCCAACCACUAAUUACUCAUCUGGGAGCUACUGACGUGUGCUGGGGGUACAGAGAAGAGGGGGUACAGAGAAGAGGGUGGUCUCUGUUCUCAAGUCCCUUAUAGCCCAUUCUGCAUCUGUGCGUUGGCUCACACCACCCCUUGCCUGACCCGCUCUCCCCUUCUCCCCAUCUAUUCCAGGCGUUCCCAGCCUCAGCACAGGUGGCAUUUGGGGAUGGGGAUUUCUUUGUUGUGGUGACUGUUCUGUGCAUUGUAAAACUUUUAGCAGCAUCCCUGGCCCCUACCCACUAGCUGCCACGGCCCCUCCUGAAUUGUGACAUCCAAAAAUGUGUUGAGACAUUGCCGGAUAUCUGAUGGGGGCAAUGGAACCACCGAUCCAUUUUGACUUUAUCCAUAUUUCAUAACCUUACUCAGGUCCUCCUCCAUGAAGCUUGCUUUAGCUGCUGUGGCUCAUCUGGAUUCCCCUUCCCUUUGGGCUCCCAUGCCAGGUCUUGCUGCUGCAAGGCCAUUCGACAUGAAACCUUCCCCCCCCCCCCCCGAUCUCUGCAAGAAGACAGUCCUGACGAUGGUCCCGGAGCUGAAGAUUUCAUUCAGGCACCGUGGCAAGCCUAUGGCCUCUCCAAGAACGAGCUGCUUUCAUCCGCCAGGGAGACCCAGCUUCCUCAACUCUCAAAUCCAGUGCAGUGCUAGGUCGGAAAUUUCCAACCAUCCAUCACAGAAGAUACAGAGGGGCCAAUUGGGUAGAUUUCUAGGUACCCAUUCUCUUUAAAAGAAGCAGACUGUAUGUUUUAUACACUGAGUUUCUGUCUGGUGUUUUGUCGGGAGGGUACCAUGGAGGGAAAAAAGAUGUCAAAAACUAUUAUCUUAAAGACUUUUCUAAUAUUUGAUAGUGAGAUAUUGUUUGUAUUAAUUAUAUCGCUCAGUUAGGUGUGAGGGCCUUCAAGGCCUGCUACCUUGGUGAUAUUGCCACAGAGCCAACUAGCUCAGGGCUGGGCUCACAGAAGGUUCAAUAAACAUUUGCUGUUUGAUUGUGUUUUCACUCCAGUGCCGGAGAUGAUUUUACUCUGAUGUGGGGCCCCGGCAUUUGAAAUCUCCCUAUCUCAGUUAAGGGGGUUUCAUUUGCAAAAGAUAGAAAACCUCACCACAAUAGCUUGAACAAAUAGUGGUUUCUUUCUCUCACAUAAGACAGCAAUGUCAGGGCCGGCUUCUUGAAGGUUUUCUGGGCCCUUCCCUCAGUGAGGGCUCAGCGCCUAGAGCCAGGGAAGGCGGGCAGCCAGAGGCCCACACACAGAGCCCCGCACCUUGACUGGUCUUGUGCCUGGGGCUGGUGCAGGCUCCAGUCCCUGAGCUCACCCACUGCCUGGCCAGGCCCCUCGAGGUGGCCCCUGGAGAGCAGCGACAAUGGUUCGCUGCUCCUGGACUGGGGUGAGUCUGUCUGUGGCUUAGGCUUCCCUUUCCUCUGGACAGAGGUGGCAAUUGGAAUUGAUG
Molecule: long non-coding RNA, 2035 nt
Organism: Mirounga angustirostris (Northern elephant seal)
Lineage: Eukaryota; Metazoa; Chordata; Mammalia; Carnivora; Phocidae
Exons: 5
Source: RefSeq, a predicted model, not a curated record